RNAcentral lists this unclassified non-coding RNA (240 nucleotides) under soil metagenome. RNAcentral describes it as "partial contains 5.8S ribosomal RNA, internal transcribed spacer 2, and large subunit ribosomal RNA". The record is from RNAcentral.
AACUGAUACUACCUGCGGGAACCUGCGGAGGGAUCAUUAUCGAAUUGUUGAAACUUGGUUGUCGCUGGCUCUCUCCUUCUUGGAGAUUGCAUGUGCACGCCUAGUUCAAACUUUUCAUUAUUAACCUCCUGUGCACUUUUGUGGAUCGUGGAUGGAUAAACUUUGUCAAAGUAAAAUUUGGUUUUGAGGAUUGCGGUUUGCUUUCCUCUACUAUGUGUCCAUGGUUCAUGUUUUUACUAC